GCGCGCAAAUUACCCAAUCCCGACACGGGGAGGUAGUGACAAUAAAUACUGAUACAGGGCUCUUUUGGGUCUUGUAAUUGGAAUGAGUACAAUUUAAAUCCCUUAACGAGGAACAAUUGGAGGGCAAGUCUGGUGCCAGCAGCCGCGGUAAUUCCAGCUCCAAUAGCGUAUAUUAAAGUUGUUGUGGUUAAAAAGCUCGUAGUUGAACCUUGGGCCUGGCUGGCCGGUCCGCCUCACCGCGUGUACUGGUCCGGCCGGGCCUUUCCCUCUGUGGAACCCCAUGCCCUUCACUGGGUGUGGCGGGGAAACAGGACUUUUACUUUGAAAAAAUUAGAGUGCUCCAGGCAGGCCUAUGCUCGAAUACAUUAGCAUGGAAUAAUAGAAUAGGACGUGUGGUUCUAUUUUGUUGGUUUCUAGGACCGCCGUAAUGAUUAAUAGGGACAGUCGGGGGCAUCAGUAUUCAAUUGUCAGAGGUGAAAUUCUUGGAUUUAUUGAAGACUAACUACUGCGAAAGCAUUUGCCAAGGAUGUUUUCAUUAAUCAGGAACGAAAGUUAGGGGAUCGAAGACGAUCAGAUACCGUCGUAGUCUUAACCAUAAACUAUGCCGACUAGGGAUCGGACGAUGUUAUUUUUUGACUCGUUCGGCACCUUACGAGAAAUCAAAGUG
Molecule: ribosomal RNA, 667 nt
Filed under: uncultured eukaryote
Lineage: Eukaryota
Description: SSU rRNA
Rfam family: Eukaryotic small subunit ribosomal RNA
Source: RNAcentral